This is a long non-coding RNA of Benincasa hispida (wax gourd), 938 nucleotides long. RefSeq lists it as uncharacterized. The record is from RefSeq and is a predicted model, not a curated record. NCBI's taxonomy places the organism in Eukaryota, Viridiplantae, Streptophyta, Magnoliopsida, Cucurbitales, Cucurbitaceae.
AUUGGUAAUAAAAUCAAUUAUGGAAUAAUUGGUUACGAUUUUUCUCUCAAUAACUAACUUAGUGGGAAGUUGUGAUCAGUUAUGAUAACUGAUAGAUAAAAUGAAAAUUGUUUUCAUUUUUACAUAAGGCGAUCAUUAAGCGAUUGAGAAUCGUACGAUCAAAAGAAUUAGCUAUACGAUAGCUUGAGAGCAUACAUGAUCGUGCAACGAGUUUUCUAUACAAUAGUCAUUUGUUUUCUAAACGAUCAAGUACUUAGUCUAUACGAUAGAUUAUAGUCAUCUCCCACAUACUCGAUCAUCUAUACGAUCUAUCUAAUUCCUCCUACCCUCUAUCAAAUCCUGGAUUCUCACAUCGAGAAUACCAAGGUAGCCUGCUGGUGGUGUCUAUUUCCUGUUCGAGGGUCAAGUGGGAUUUGUUCUUGUUCGAGGAGAUUGCUGAGGCCUGACGUUCGUAUUGGUGAGUGAUCGUGCAAUAAGAUCGAGGAAACGAGAAGAAUAGUUCUUCAAGGGACCCUACAAGAUUUAGGGCAUUAACCCUAACAGGUCACUCUAGGACGACACGCAGACAAACAAUAGGAAUCUCACGGUGCAAACUAAUGGAGGAGACCGUAGGAUACGUUGACACACGUCUCUCUCCCAGUUACUACAAGUACUUUCCUUAUUCACCUUGUUAUUAACUUAUGCAAACACUUUCCAAAGGGAGGUCGCGCCCAGAGCGACACGAAGACGAGCAUGGAUCUCAUGGUGUGAACUCUCAGAGACGUGAGAGCUGAAACUUGAUAUAUCACAUAUACCAAUUUCCUCCCACUAAAUUAUUCUAAUGUUUUUAGGAUUUUAUUAUAUUUAGUUAAUACCUGGCUAAUGAAUUAUCUAAGUCAUUUUAAUUUGCUUAAUAUAACAUUUAUAUUGAAGGAUUUAAUAAUACUUGAUUUCAUUUA